This 85-nucleotide transfer RNA is filed under the name Thermoplasmata archaeon. RNAcentral describes it as "tRNA-Leu". It matches the Rfam family "tRNA". From Rfam's summary of the family: Transfer RNA (tRNA) molecules are approximately 80 nucleotides in length. Their secondary structure includes four short double-helical elements and three loops (D, anti-codon, and T loops). Further hydrogen bonds mediate the characteristic L-shaped molecular structure. tRNAs have two regions of fundamental functional importance: the anti-codon, which is responsible for specific mRNA codon recognition, and the 3' end, to which the tRNAs corresponding amino acid is attached (by aminoacyl-tRNA synthetases). tRNAs cope with the degeneracy of the genetic code in two manners: having more than one tRNA (with a specific anti-codon) for a particular amino acid; and 'wobble' base-pairing, i.e. permitting non-standard base-pairing at the 3rd anti-codon position. The record is from RNAcentral. Lineage: Archaea; Methanobacteriati; Thermoplasmatota; Thermoplasmata. RNAcentral also lists the same sequence under 2 other names.
GCAGGGGUAGCCAAGCCUGGCCAACGGCGCAAGGUUCAGGGCCUUGUGGUGUAGACCUUCAAGGGUUCGAAUCCCUUCCCCUGCA